This is a long non-coding RNA of Sapajus apella (tufted capuchin), 1457 nucleotides long. RefSeq lists it as uncharacterized. The transcript is spliced from 3 exons. Lineage: Eukaryota; Metazoa; Chordata; Mammalia; Primates; Cebidae. The record is from RefSeq and is a predicted model, not a curated record.
GUUCUAUUUUUUUACAAAACCAUGAAGAACCACAACCUAUCCAAAAUGAAUCACAGAAAAUCCAGUCUCAGCAUUUAUUUUUAAAUAACACAUCUAGUCAUAUAAUGGAGAGUCAUAAAUAGCAUACAUAACUAAAACUCCUGGCAUUUAAAAACACGUGUGUAGCCUUCUUAAAUCCAAGGAAACAUUGAGAACUAUUUAUUUUUUAAUAUGAGCAUUAUUUGGGUGGCAGCCUUUGAAGGUUUCCUUUUACUGGUAAAAGACAAUGAUAUAUCUUGCCCUGAUGAAGGCAAACCCAAGACAGGCUUGUAAGGUAGAGUCAGAGAGACUCAUUAGCCAAAACUUUUCCUUUUCAGAAGCCAACUCAUUUUUAUCAAAUGUCUUCUGAAGAAAUUGCGAUGUUCAUCCUGAAAUUUUCCUUUGCAGGAAUCUAUUGCAAAGAGUGCAUCCGAUUCUAGAUAAUAGUUUCUCAUUUGCGUGAGGGCUGCUGUCCUUUUGCAUUUGCUUUCCUAUUGAUUUCCACAGAUAUAUUUGUCCUUCUGUGAGUAUGAGAGCCAUAGCUCUGUUGUGACCCCUGGUAGUGAGUGUACAUCUCCAUAUAAGUGGUAUAGAGCCACCUGGCUCUGAAAUAUGUGUGAGCACACAGAGCUUUCCUUACUUUUUAAUCUCAGGAUCAGUGGAUUUAUUGGGAUGGUGCUGACAUAAAAAAUGAAAUGAAACAUCUGUGUCUAACAGCUGCACAAAAUUUGGAUUCAUGUAAACUGCUCUGACAUCACACAUUCUGCAUGUGAGUUCCAUGAGUAGCCUCCAUAUGGUGCUAAUACAAUAACAUGCCUACAAAGUCCCUGUGGUUUAUGGUGUGAUGAACUCCAGAACUGAGGAAAUGAGCCAAGAAGCCUACACCAUUUGCUGAAUGGAGCCGGCUUUGGGUAAUAUCUUGUUCUCACUGAACUACUCAGUUUCACUAGGGAUAGGAAGCCAGACUGGGCAUAGUACCAACAAUAAACUUAAUGUUGGGGAUGUUGGUCACCACUCCUCUAACGUGGUAGGAGAGAAGUCUCACGAUGAUUUUUCCUUACUCCAUAGAAAAAUAGAUGUGGGAUUGCAAACGGGUGAUGGAUGGGUAAGUGAAGCAAGUUUACCCCUUCUAGGCAGUCAGGAAAAGACAGGUAAAAAGAGAGAAACAAAACAUACAUAAUGUUUCAAAGCAGAUCCUAGAAAGAUACAGCAAUCCUUUUCUGGGAGGCUGGAGUCAUGCCCAGGGUACAUGGUAGCAUUGAUCAGAUCAAUGACACACCACACUGACCUAUAGCUAUAAACAAAAGCCACACAUGUUCUCUUUCUUCUGCUAAAGACAGGGGCUGCAGGAAUUUGGCAAAUAGUUGUAGUUGUUCUGACAGACUACACAUGUAGACUAGAAAAAAAAUCUGUUCUUAUUUAAUUUUUUAAAAAAGAUC